This 1082-nucleotide long non-coding RNA is filed under the name Zonotrichia albicollis (white-throated sparrow). Its description in RNAcentral is "lncRNA (ENSZALG00000004407.1)". The record is from RNAcentral. Lineage: Eukaryota; Metazoa; Chordata; Aves; Passeriformes; Passerellidae.
UGCAUAUGGAAAUGUCAGUCUUACAGUGAUUUUUCUUGUCCUUCAAUUAGAUCCUCCUAUGAUUUUGAGGAUGUGAGAGAAUCAUGAAAGAUUACUGUUAACUUCAAGCCUAAAUCCUUCAUCUCAUUGGAAUAAUGGGGGAAUUCACUUUCUAAUCCACGUUUCUUUGCUGCCUGCGGAAUUUGUAACCAUAGUAUCACAUCAGUUUAGGUUAGCCUGAAAUAGAUGAGAAGCUCAACCUCUUCUCUGACUUGCUGAAGGUUUUCCUUAUGGCUGACUACUUAUGUGUGUGAUGUGUGGUGUUCUGUGCCUUGCUUCCUUCCUUCCCCAUUCUCUUUUUGCAAGGAGAGGUAGAAGGAAUGGUCUGCCACUGUCCAGAGGUGCUGCUAAUUAUAGACCAAUCUGCCCAGUGAAGAGCCUGCAGGAAAGAGGUGAAGGCCCAGAGCUACAUCUACGCAGGACAUCCACGGAGCAGAAACUUGUGGGAAUACCAUGAAUUGCCCAGAGACACAGUGGGAUUAGUGUGUGUUUGCUUCUUUAGUACUGCCCCUUUAUCACACAAAAACAGUUAUUAUUUGAGCUGCUUUGGGAAUACACUGUAUGCAUUUUCCAUAAGUAUUUUUUGUGAAUUGGCUUUUGUGAAGUCCAGAUAUUUUUUUUACUAAACCCUUUUGAAUACGAAAUAAUUUACAAGUGUCCUCCUUUUUCUUGCCUUGCACAACCAGCUUUAAUUUUGGGACUUUUCCUGGUGGGGUUAUUACAUCUUACAAGAUUAUUUCUGCAAUAUUAUUUUCUCCAUUCUGUAUGAGAGUAUUAUUUUCUUAAUUUCUGUAUGAGAGGAAAUAGCACUGUAGUUUUUAAAAGAGAUAUAUUUGAACAUUCUGUGUUGAACUUUGUGUUCAGCUUGAUGUUUUCUUUAAUGAUAUUGAGUGUAAGCAACAGCUAAAAUGUAAUUUUAUUUAAUUGUAGGGGUUUUGAUUUUUUUCCUCCCUAUUUUGGGGGGAUGGGGUUUGGUUGUUUAGGCAAGUAUAUUUCCAGCUCAAUGAAAUAAAUGUAAAAAGAAAAAAAAAAUCUAAUCCCUU